Long non-coding RNA from Amblyraja radiata (thorny skate), 92 nucleotides. RefSeq lists it as uncharacterized. The transcript has 4 exons. NCBI's taxonomy places the organism in Eukaryota, Metazoa, Chordata, Chondrichthyes, Rajiformes, Rajidae. The record is from RefSeq and is a predicted model, not a curated record.
UUGUUGUCACUCUUGCCUAUGUACAGUGAAAUGCUCUGUUUUGCAUACAACUCGGUAAAAUCAUAUAGCAAACCUCACCUCGGCAGUACACA